GGAGAACAUUUGACCUAGGUGUUGAAAGAGAGAAGAAAUUGGACAGCCAGGGGUGGGAAUGAAGAGAAGACUCCAGAGUGGAGACCCAUCCUAAGGGAAGGCAGGAUGAGGAGAGCAUGAAGAGACAGGGAAAAUGGUGAGUUAUUCCAUUUGGGUGAACUGCGAUGAAGCCCUUUCCUAGAGUUUCCUUGGGACAGAAAAAGUAAGGUUCCUUUUUUGAAGUAGACACUCAAAGCAGGAAGCACCGGCUAUGUAGAUAUUCGGCUCAACUUUUGAAAGAGAAAGGUUAUACCCAAGUAAAUGUUCCAGAAUGAACUAUCCUUAAAAUCACCUGCUUACCUCUCAGGAUAUGUUAAAGAGCUAUUAGAUGACCAGAAUGACCUGAAAUAUCUUGAAAAGAGUUAUCAGCUGCAUGCGAUGGCUCACACCUGUAAUCCCAGCACUUCAGGAGGCCAAGGUGGGUACAUCUCUUGAACCAGGAGUUUGAUACUAGCCUGGCCAAGAUGGUGAAAC
Molecule: long non-coding RNA, 513 nt
Filed under: Homo sapiens (human)
Lineage: Eukaryota; Metazoa; Chordata; Mammalia; Primates; Hominidae
Description: non-protein coding lnc-PAX9-5:1
Source: RNAcentral